Molecule: unclassified non-coding RNA, 269 nt
Filed under: uncultured fungus
Lineage: Eukaryota; Fungi
Description: partial contains small subunit ribosomal RNA, internal transcribed spacer 1, and 5.8S ribosomal RNA
Rfam family: Eukaryotic small subunit ribosomal RNA (bases 1-73)
Source: RNAcentral
UCAAACUUGGUCAUUUAGAGGAAGUAAAAGUCGUAACAAGGUCUCCGUUGGUGAACCAGCGGAGGGAUCAUUAUAGAGUUUUCAAAACUCCCAAACCCCAUGUGAACAUACCCAUCUUGUUGCCUCGGCGUGGUAUUAACCUUAAAAACCCGCCGGCGGCCUUAUAAACUCUGUUUAAUAAGAAUAUUAUCUCUGAGUACUAUUUAAAAAAAUAAGUUAAAACUUUCAACAACGGAUCUCUUGGUUCUGGCAUCGAUGAAGAACGCAGC